AUGUUUAGACAAAAGAACAUUAUCAACCUCUAUGCACCAGAGAUUGUUGUUCCAAAUAAUGAUCUUGAAAAGCAAGUAUUGUCACUGAGAGAUAAAAAUGAAUUUCUUGAGAAUCAACAACAAAAAUUAAUUGAGGAGAUAAAAGAAUAUAAGAGGCAGAUUUUGCAUCAGCAACGUCUAAUAAAUGAAUCAAGCUCAAAGCGACAGAAAAUGGCUGAACAAUCAUCAGAUGGAGCAAUGAUUGCAGAGUCACUUCCCUUACAUAGAGCACAUGGUGGCAGUAGCGAUCUUUGCAAGUUUGUUCUCCAGAAUGAGUUUGUCCUGGAUGGAGCUCGAGUCAUGGGCAUAGAUGCAUCCAGCCAGAUUAUAGUAGCUUCUGGAAGGGCUCCUGGAGUUAGUGCUGAACAUGUCCUUACCAAGAUCUGCAUGUUCUCUAGACAGGAAACGAAAGUACGCCUUCCGCCUAACACUAAAGCUGUCAGGGAUAUUUGUAUAACUCCUGGGGGCCUUGCUAUUUUUGCAUCUCUUGGCAGGAAAUUGUCACUUCUCAGCAUGACAACCAACAAUGUUGUCCUUCAUUAUGAUCUACCGGCUCCAGGCUGGUCCUGUUCAGGGGAUCAAACUGGCCCCAACCACGUAUAUGCUGGAUUACAGAAUGGCAUGCUUUUGGUCUUUGAUACCCGCCAAACUAAAGGACCACUGCACUCCUUGAGUGGUCUAUCUACAAACCCAGUUCAUACAAUCCACUCUGUCGUAGAUGAUAACGGUUCCACGAAUAUCAUCUCUGCUUCUUCCAUAGGACCCUGCAUUUGGGAUGUAGAUGGCAAUGAAAACAGGCCAAAUUUGCUUACCGGGAUGGAAAACCAAGGGGUCUGCAUAUCCCUUGCAUGUGCCGCUCCAUCAAGUGAUCUGAUUGUGGCUUCCUUCCGUCCAAGGGUCGAGUUUUCGGGCGACGGCAGUGCAUCUCAAAUGGGUAUAUCACAAUCACCAACGCUCUCCGGUUCUGGAAAGCUCGGGUGCCACGCUCUCCUGAGGAGGACGAGCAGCACAUCCUUCGUGAAAGAGCAGAUCUGCAAUGCCAACGUGAGUGAGCUGCGGAUGUCGAAGUCUGCAAUCAUACCCUGCAGCGGAACCGGCCAACACCUCUUUGCCUAUGGCGAUGAGUCACUGCGCGGAGUCCGCACAUGGCGGCUGCCUUCGUUUCAGCUGUUCGCUGAUCUCAGGCCGCACCACCAACCGAUCCUUGACCUGAGGUUUGCGGAGAGCACCACCGGGGAGAAGUACCUUGGGUGCUUGAGCGAGGAGAAGCUGCAGGUCUUCAGAAUUAGGUCGUAG
This 1335-nucleotide ribosomal RNA is filed under the name Triticum aestivum (bread wheat). RNAcentral describes it as "partial small subunit ribosomal RNA". The record is from RNAcentral. Lineage: Eukaryota; Viridiplantae; Streptophyta; Magnoliopsida; Poales; Poaceae.